AACGAACGCUGGCGGCAUGCCUAACACAUGCAAGUCGAACGAGACCUUCGGGUCUAGUGGCGCACGGGUGCGUAACGCGUGGGAACCUGCCCUUAGGUGCGGAAUAACUCCCCGAAAGGGGUGCGAGUACCGGAUAAUGUCUUCGGACCAAAGAUUUAUCGCCUUUGGAUGGGCCCGCGUUGGAUUAGCUAGUUGUUAGGGUAAAAGCCUACCAAGGCGACGAUCCAUAGCUGGUCUGAGAGGAUGAUCAGCCACACUGGGACUGAGACACGGCCCAGACUCCUACGGGAGGCAGCAGUGGGGAAUAUUGGACAAUGGGCGAAAGCCUGAUCCAGCAAUGCCGCGUGAGUGAUGAAGGCCUUAGGGUUGUAAAGCUCUUUUACCCGGGAUGAUAAUGACAGUACCGGGAGAAUAAGCUCCGGCUAACUCCGU
This 432-nucleotide ribosomal RNA is filed under the name uncultured bacterium. RNAcentral's name for it is "partial 16S ribosomal RNA". It matches the Rfam family "Bacterial small subunit ribosomal RNA", at positions 29 to 506 of the family's 1533-position model. The record is from RNAcentral.